AUCUACAAUUUUCGCACUUACAG
This 23-nucleotide microRNA is filed under the name Caenorhabditis elegans. Its description in RNAcentral is "cel-miR-4816-3p". The record is from miRBase by way of RNAcentral. Lineage: Eukaryota; Metazoa; Nematoda; Chromadorea; Rhabditida; Rhabditidae.